UUUUUUAACGAUGGUUAGAAAUUAUAUUCGUAAAAUUGAUAGUGUGGAGUAUCCACCAGGUCACAUUGUAAAUGCUGCCAAAUAAAUUUUGUUGCAAAAUCAAACUGUGACUAGUGUUUCACUCAACUUCUCGAUUCCACGUCAAUAACUUUUGAGGUUUUUACUGAUCUGCAAGAAAAUUAACUCGUCAAGUAUUUGAAAAGGUCCAGUGACACUAAACAUGGUUUCACUACAAGGGAUACCAGAAAAUGGGCACAUGAUUAUGCUAGAAAACUUCAGUUGAAAUGUCCUGAAAACUUUUCGACAAAUUUGACAGCUGGGAAAGACUGGCUGGCUGGAUUUUUAAACAAAGUUACUUUGACUGAGAGCCAAAAUUUUGAUUUACCCAAAUUCAGCUGUCUCACAGAUGGUGAAAAUGAACUGCUGCUCUGCUGGAAGUCAUUUAACCUUUCACAAAAGCUG
This is a long non-coding RNA of Daphnia pulicaria, 462 nucleotides long. RefSeq lists it as uncharacterized. The transcript has 3 exons. NCBI's taxonomy places the organism in Eukaryota, Metazoa, Arthropoda, Branchiopoda, Diplostraca, Daphniidae. The record is from RefSeq and is a predicted model, not a curated record.